AAAAGUGACAAUUGUUCCUCGGGGUACAGCAGCCUUGGGAUUUGCUCAGUAUGUUCCUAAUGAAAAUCUUCUAAUGACUAAGGAACAGCUAUUUGAUGUGACAUGCAUGACUCUUGGAGGUCGAGCUGCUGAGCAGGUUUUGAUAGGGAAGAUCUCGACUGGUGCCCAAAAUGAUUUGGAGAAAGUCACCAAAAUGACAUAUGCCCAAGUAGCAGUUUAUGGUUUCAGUGACAAGGUUGGU
RNAcentral lists this unclassified non-coding RNA (241 nucleotides) under Hevea brasiliensis (rubber tree). The record is from RNAcentral. Lineage: Eukaryota; Viridiplantae; Streptophyta; Magnoliopsida; Malpighiales; Euphorbiaceae.